GCCAAACUUGUGCAUCAUCAAUUAAGAAAGUCUUUCUAAGAUUCUAGGGACUAAGUUCAUCAAUUAUCUUGAAUUUCUGGAUUCUUGACUUGGAUCAAACAUGAGAAGCGCUUAUCUUUGGCAUCAUCAAAACUUCAUGUCAUAUUUGCUUCUACAUCAUUCAAUAUUCAUGAAAAUAAAAUUUCUAAGGUGUUUCAACUUGACCCACAAAACAAAGGAUGCUAAAUGUAUUAAUUUAAAGUCUUGAAUGUAAGCUUUCAUUCAGUUUUGAUGUGCUUGCAUAUUUUUGCUGAAGAAAGUUGUGGUGAAGCCAAAUGCCGAUUUGAUGGUAACUGAGAUGAUUGUCUUUUUGUUGGUGUAAAAAGACUUCCCAACUUUGGAUCAUGGUCGGCAGUUCUAGAUAAUGACGGCUAUAAUUAGAACUUUUUUGUUAUUAUGAGUGUGCUAACAUGAUAGAUCUCGUUACAAAUGAACAUUCAUAAAACAUAAGCAUUUCUCAUUGUACAUGUUAGAUUCAUAACAGACAUAGAACCCUGGGAACAAAUACCUAAUUAUCUGUUUUCUAAAAUCAUUAUACAUGUUAGUUCUAAAAAAUCAAUAUGCAUGAUAUAAUGUACCAAAUGACAUGUUUAAAUAUAAAAAUUGUUGGCUACCUCGAUUUGUGAUUCAACAUUCAAUGUAUGCAUUGUCUUAUCAUCCUUGGUUAUAGCCUGCACAUCAAGACAUAUAAUGAGUAAAAACAUAUCUUCAACCCGAAAAAAUAAAUACAUUAUAAGUUUUAUGAAUUCUUGAUCAAUAUAAGUUUGAUGACCUUGUCAUGAGGUCCAAGUCGUUCCAUUAUAAGUUUGAUCAAUUCUGAUUAACAGACAUUUUCAUGACACCACAAUUAUUAAACUUUGGUUAGACUCUAACUCUGAAUGCAAAAGUAUAUCCUAACAUUCGAUCCAACGGUUCUAGAAUCUCUUUCGGGUUAUCUUCUCCAAGCUUCUUCAAAAAAUGACAUAAGAGUUAACAUAUAAUAAGUUUUGGAAUUAAAGCCAACCAUCAUACACAUUAAAAAACAAUGACAAAAAAUUAAGCAUGUACCUUAGUCAUUAGGAGUCUAAGAUCAACAAUUGUCAUUCCAAUCAAUUUUUCACACUCUCGAACCUAAAAACAAAUUUUGAAUUAAAAUUUUUGUGAUAAACUUGAACCUCAACUUUAUACCUAUGAAUGAUAAAAAAAAUGUGGCUAGAAUGUACUAUUUUUUUAAAAUGGGAAAGUAAUUUGAAUGUCAUUUAUAAAAAUGAUUACAAUUGGUACAUCCUUCAUAGUACCAUCCAUUUGGCCCAAAAAUGAUUUUAUCGAUUGUAGCAACAAUGAGACAUUAGAUUUCCUAAUAGCAUAAUUUCAUAAGACUAUAUUAAUAACAUAAUACAACAAAUGAAUAAUUGAGAAAAAAAUAAUUUAACUAAAUUACAUAGCGGUGUAAAAAAACUUGUCUAGUUUCGUUAAUCUAGCCAUGAGUCUUCGUAGUUGCUUUGUACAUAAAUUUUUCAUGCUCUGAAUAUUGAGAGCUAGCAGAAAGAUGUGAGAAGCUAUUAAUUUGAGAUAGAUUUUCACUAUGUGUUUCUACUUGCACCAAGCUACUAACAUCAAAACUAAAAAAUAUAUAAUAUAAUAAUAACAUUAUUCAGACUUAUAAUCUCAUUAUUAAGAUUACAUAUAUGAAAAAUAUUUAGUUGAAGCCUGCUGCUAAAUUUUUUAAUUUCUUCAAUAUCAUCAUUGAUAAAUAGUUUGGAGCAGCAAUAUGAGUUUGAGAUUCCAAGUGGAAACCCACUUGCAACAACAAACGUGCGUCAAUUAGCAUUAAUACCAUUCUAACAACUACACAAAAUAUUUUAGUGCUAGUUAUUAUAUUCACCAUUUGCUUCUUUUAUCUUCGCAUGCGUCAACACAAUAACAAUUAAAUAGUUGACAAAUAUUUCAUGUGAAUAUUCAAUCAAUUUCAGAGCAUAAUCUUCCCACAACAUAUAAUUAAGUACAUUUCCAAUACAGUAAAUAAACAUUUGCAAAUGUCAAUAAAUAUAAAACAUAGUCAAGAGUAAUGAAAAAUACAAUUCAUUAAAUUAUGCAUUAAAAAAUACUUGAUAUCUUUCAAAUUGAACACUAUCUUUCUGUUGUCAUUUGUAAUUCCUUGGAAAGUAAUUUUUUCAAUGGCAUCAAUAAUAUCUGAACAAAAAGGCAUAAUUAACAGUACAAAUUUCUUAAGAGGAUAAAUUAAUUAGAAAACAAUAGCAUAAUCAACUAAAAACAUGCUAAAAAAUGUUCAACAUUGUAGGCAAUUAACAUGCUUCCUUAAUUUUACCAAUUAACACAUAGGAAUUUUGCCCUUUUAGUCAGGAUAUCUUCAAAAUUCAUGAAACCGUAAACAUUGUUGGCAAUAUCAAGAAGGUCUUGAGUCUUGAGCGUUGUUUCACCAGUAAAUAACAACUUCAAUGCAUGAUUACAUAUCUUAUAUUGUCCAUCAUUGGGUACAGUUCUGAAGUUAUUCAUGAUAUAUGUACUACCCUCUCUCAGCAUUGCAUACCAUGUAUCAAACUGGUCUUUCCUAGCCAUAAAUAGAAUCUUAUCUCCCUAAACACAAUAAAAAUAAUCAAGCAUUUAAUAAAUGGACAACUAUCUAUUUGACCUACACAUAUUCAUUAUAGCGUUUAAAUCAUGUUCUUACAUUAGAGUCCAUGAUCACCAUUUCUAAAUGACCAGAGUAAUCACGCGUAGGGACAACCCAUAGAUCUAUUAUGCGAAUAACAAGAUGCAAUGUCUCUUGUGUUCCAUCAAUAUCUUUUAUGGAAUCAAAGUUCCUCGCCAUUAUCUAUUGCAACCAAAACUUAAAAAAUCAAAUGAUAUGCAUAGUUGGCAUAACAAUGGAACAAAUUCUGCCAACACAACUGUGGCAAAAAAAAGUAAAAGAUGAUACAGUGAACAUAGAUAUCCAAAACACCUAUAAUCAACUUCUAACAGCUUCAUAUGCAUAACAAAACAGAGUGCAAAGUCUACAAAACAUAUGAAAACCCCCUCAACAUUUCGCCUAAAAAACAUUAAACUUAAACAGAAAACCAACAACUAAAUUGAAACCUCUAAUGUUAACACAAUGAACAACUAACCCCAAAACCUUAAAGCUAGAACUAAAUGAAGACCCACAAUUAACUUCUGACGACUUCAUCUGCAUAACAAAACAGAGUGCAAAGUGUACAAAACAUACAAAAAAAAACCUCUACAUUUCGCCCACCUCACACUAAAUUUAAACAGAAAACCAACAGCUAAAUCUAAACCUCAAAUGUUAACACAACGAAUAACUAACCUGAAAAAAAGUGUAAUAGGCAACCAAUUGAUAUCCCAUAAAAUAAAAUAAAAAUUAACACAAAAUCAAUUUUACAAAGAAAAGGCUCACUUACCAAAUGAACCUUCAACCAAGCUUACAUCAACCCCAACGAUAUUUGAAAUGUAGUAGUACAGAGGAGAUGAAAAGAAAAGAAGAAUGUUGGAAACGUGGGCAUUGUGUGAAAAAGUGAAAUGAGAGAUGCGAGUG
Molecule: long non-coding RNA, 3571 nt
Filed under: Glycine max (soybean)
Lineage: Eukaryota; Viridiplantae; Streptophyta; Magnoliopsida; Fabales; Fabaceae
Description: long non-coding RNA (GMAX_LNC002617)
Source: RNAcentral